AGGACCUGGAAUUGGGAAGAUUCAUACAGACACUGAAUCAUCCAAGAAGCUUCUUUUUGUCUGCAUCCCUCAAAUCAGAGCAAAAGGGAGACCGUUAGAGAGAACAGCAGGAAAUGGGUGGAAGGAAGAAAGAGAGGAGGGAAGUAUUUCUUCUGCUUUCUUCAUUGUGU
RNAcentral lists this long non-coding RNA (170 nucleotides) under Mustela putorius furo (domestic ferret). RNAcentral's name for it is "lncRNA (ENSMPUG00000031807.1)". Lineage: Eukaryota; Metazoa; Chordata; Mammalia; Carnivora; Mustelidae. The record is from RNAcentral.